RNAcentral lists this long non-coding RNA (371 nucleotides) under Mus pahari (shrew mouse). RNAcentral's name for it is "predicted gene, 44448 (MGP_PahariEiJ_G0005121.1)". The record is from RNAcentral. Lineage: Eukaryota; Metazoa; Chordata; Mammalia; Rodentia; Muridae.
GUAAACACAGUUCCCAGGCUCCCCAGAGGUGAACUGGCCCAGGAGGAGGCAAAGCCUCUGCCCUGGCUAAGGUACCCUCUCUCUCAAAGCAAGCUUCUCUACCAUCCCAGAAAACCCCUGCUGCCACCAUCUCCUCCCAUCCUUCCCUCCUUGGGGAAAGUGGGUGGUUACGGUGGAAGAUUAAAGAAGUGGAAAGUCCUCUAUCUUCAGCAGGAGCCCUAGUGUGACCAGCCACUGGAAGCUCCUGCCACCACAGCCACACCCACUCUCGCUUCGGGCCUUCCCUAAGAGUGAGUCCAGAUAAACUCCCUUCUAACCACUUGACUUUGGAGCAGAAAAACACCACCCGGUUUGAAGCAGGUAAAAGACUG